CUAUGUGGCGCAGAUCACCCUUGUGUUCAAGUAAACGUUCGAGCUUCUCAAGGAUCUUUUCAAAAUUCUCCUGACACGUAUUCAGCUAAAUCACUUAUGAUGUCAUGCAUUCUGAAAAAAGAAUCACGAGUUGAUUGCUG
This is a long non-coding RNA of Populus euphratica (Euphrates poplar), 140 nucleotides long. RefSeq lists it as uncharacterized. NCBI's taxonomy places the organism in Eukaryota, Viridiplantae, Streptophyta, Magnoliopsida, Malpighiales, Salicaceae. The transcript is spliced from 2 exons. The record is from RefSeq and is a predicted model, not a curated record.